UGGAUGAGCACUGGACAACUCUUUAGGAAUCUAUCACUCAUCUUGGUGUGACCGUAGCUGAAAGCACUUCUAAACAAAGGGGAAACUCUUCUGUUUCAUGCCUGCACACACAAAGCCACCUGCCUGGAAGCCAAAAUGGAAGAUAAGGCAUCUGUUCUGAGACCACUGCCUAUGGCCGAGGCAUCUGGAUACUGGCGAGCAUUUAUUUCACAAGAUUGCAUCAUGCAGCCCUUGUCAUUCAAGAGAAGACUCAAAAACUUACUUUCUGGACUAGUAUGGUAAAAUAAUAAGAUGGAGCAAUGAGGAGAUGUGUGAGAAAAUGCAACAGAAGUAGCA
Molecule: long non-coding RNA, 336 nt
Organism: Dromaius novaehollandiae (emu)
Lineage: Eukaryota; Metazoa; Chordata; Aves; Casuariiformes; Dromaiidae
Exons: 3
Source: RefSeq, a predicted model, not a curated record